RNAcentral lists this unclassified non-coding RNA (314 nucleotides) under Hevea brasiliensis (rubber tree). The record is from RNAcentral. Lineage: Eukaryota; Viridiplantae; Streptophyta; Magnoliopsida; Malpighiales; Euphorbiaceae.
UGUAUUACUAAAUUUGAAGCAUAUAAAGAUGGAGUGGAGUUAUUGGUUAGCAAGUUGAUGGAGGUUGAAAAGGAAGUCAAUGUCUUGAAGGAAAUAUUUGCAAAACGGAAGCUUGCAAAGAUGUCAGAAUGCCCUCCAGCUGAAGAAUGAGCUACAAGUCUAUUUAAAGUGUGUGGAAAUUUAGGUGAAUGACAGCUAUCUAUGUAAGUUGAAUGGCACAACUCUUUCUGUGUUUGAAACUAGAAGCUCAAAUUUAUGUUAAUUGCUGACAGUUCUCUUACUUCUGAUAUGUUAUCUGUUUGAUCAAUAUUUUU